Molecule: ribosomal RNA, 390 nt
Filed under: uncultured bacterium
Lineage: Bacteria
Description: partial 16S ribosomal RNA
Rfam family: Bacterial small subunit ribosomal RNA
Source: RNAcentral
AUACGGAGGAUCCGAGCGUUAUCCGGAUUUAUUGGGUUUAAAGGGUGCGCAGGCGGCCAUUUAAGUCAGCGGUUAAAUCGUGGGGCUCAACCCCAUUCUGCCGUUGAUACUGGGUGGCUUGAUUGCGGUCGAGGUUGGCGGAAUUCGUUGUGUAGCGGGGAAAUGCAUAGAUAUGACGAAGAACACCGAUUGCGUAGGCAGCUGACCAGACCGCAAAUGACGCUCAUGCACGAAAGUGCGGGGAUCGAACAGGAUUAGAUACCCUGGUAGUCCGCACAGUAAACGAUAAAUACUUGUUUUCGGCGAUAUAAUGUCGGAGGCAAAGCGAAAGCGAUAAGUAUUCCACCUGGGGAGUACGCCGGCAACGGUGAAACUCAAAUGAAUUGACGG